Molecule: ribosomal RNA, 425 nt
Filed under: uncultured bacterium
Lineage: Bacteria
Description: bacterial SSU rRNA
Rfam family: Bacterial small subunit ribosomal RNA
Source: RNAcentral
GGGGAAUUUUGGACAAUGGGGGCAACCCUGAUCCAGCAAUGCCGCGUGAGUGAAGAAGGCCUUCGGGUUGUAAAGCUCUUUUGUCAGGGAAGAAACGGUCCGGGCUAAUAUCCUGGGCUAAUGACGGUACCUGAAGAAUAAGCACCGGCUAACUACGUGCACGCAGCCGCGGUAAUACGUAGGGUGCAAGCGUUAAUCGGAAUUACUGGGCGUAAAGCGUGCGCAGGCGGUUGUGCAAGACAGAUGUGAAAUCCCCGGGCUCAACCUGGGAAUUGCAUUUGUGACUGCACGGCUAGAGUGUGCCAGAGGGGGGUAGAAUUCCACGUGUAGCAGUGAAAUGCGUAGAGAUGUGGAGGAAUACCGAUGGCGAAGGCAAUCCCCUGGGCCUGCACUGACGCUCAUGCACGAAAGCGUGGGGAGCAAAC